CUACGUGCCAGCAGCCGCGGUAAUACGGAGGGUGCGAGCGUUAAUCGGAAUAACUGGGCGUAAAGGGCACGCAGGCGGUGACUUAAGUGAGGUGUGAAAGCCCCGGGCUUAACCUGGGAAUUGCAUUUCAUACUGGGUCGCUAGAGUACUUUAGGGAGGGGUAGAAUUCCACGUGUAGCGGUGAAAUGCGUAGAGAUGUGGAGGAAUACCGAUGGCGAAGGCAGCCUCCUGGGAUAACACUGACGUUCAUGCCCGAAAGCGUGGGUAGCAAACAGGAUUAGAUACCCUGGUAGUCCACGCCCUAAACGAUGUCGAUUAGCUGUUGGGCAGCAUGACUGCUUAGUAGCGAAGCUAACGCGUGAAAUCGACCGCCUGGGGAGUACGGUCGCAAGAUUAAAACUCAAAGGAAUUGACGGGGACCCGCACAAGCGGUGGAUGAUGUGGAUUAAUUCGAUGCAACGCGAAGAACCUUACCUGGUCUUGACAU
Molecule: ribosomal RNA, 487 nt
Filed under: uncultured bacterium
Lineage: Bacteria
Description: bacterial SSU rRNA
Rfam family: Bacterial small subunit ribosomal RNA
Source: RNAcentral